GGAUGGGUGGCCGAGUGGUUGAAGGCACCGGUCUUGAAAACCGGCAGGGGCGAAAGUCCUUCGUGGGUUCGAAUCCCACCCCAUCCG
RNAcentral lists this transfer RNA (87 nucleotides) under Betaproteobacteria bacterium. RNAcentral describes it as "tRNA-Ser". It matches the Rfam family "tRNA". Rfam says of the family: Transfer RNA (tRNA) molecules are approximately 80 nucleotides in length. Their secondary structure includes four short double-helical elements and three loops (D, anti-codon, and T loops). Lineage: Bacteria; Pseudomonadati; Pseudomonadota; Betaproteobacteria. The record is from RNAcentral.